Molecule: ribosomal RNA, 511 nt
Filed under: uncultured bacterium
Lineage: Bacteria
Description: bacterial SSU rRNA
Rfam family: Bacterial small subunit ribosomal RNA
Source: RNAcentral
GAUCAUGGCUCAGAACGACGCUGGCGGCGCGUUUAAGCAUGCAAGUCGAGCGGCAAGGGCCUUCGGGCCCCUAGAGCGGCGGACGGGUGAGUAACACGUGGACAAUCUGCCCCCCGGCCCGGGAUAGCCCAGGGAAACCUGGAUUAAUACCGGAUGAGACGGGACCCGCGAUGGCGGGAUCCGGGAAAGGCGCUGCGGCGCCGCCGGGGGAUGAGUCUGCGUCCCAUUAGCCAGACGGCGGGGUAACGGCCACCGUGGCGACGAUGGGUAGCCGGCCUGAGAGGGUGGACGGCCACAUUGGAACUGAGACACGGUCCAGACUCCUACGGGAGGCAGCAGCUAAGAAUCUUCCGCAAUGGGCGAAAGCCUGACGGAGCGACGCCCGCGUGAACGAAGAAGGCCGUGAGGUUGUAAAGUUCUUUUCGGGAGGGGGAACAACCGUGGCAGGGAAUGGCCGCGGGAUGACGUGAAUCCCGGAAUAAGCCCCGGCUAACUACGUGCCAGCAGCAGC